Molecule: ribosomal RNA, 460 nt
Filed under: uncultured bacterium
Lineage: Bacteria
Description: partial 16S ribosomal RNA
Rfam family: Bacterial small subunit ribosomal RNA
Source: RNAcentral
CCUACGGGAGGCAGCAGUGAGGAAUAUUGGUCAAUGGACGAGAGUCUGAACCAGCCAAGUAGCGUGAAGGAUGACUGCCCUAUGGGUUGUAAACUUCUUUUAUAUGGGAAUAAAAUGUUCCACGUGUGGGAUUUUGUAUGUACCAUAUGAAUAAGGAUCGGCUAACUCCGUGCCAGCAGCCGCGGUAAUACGGAGGAUCCGAGCGUUAUCCGGAUUUAUUGGGUUUAAAGGGAGCUUAGGUGGAUUGUUAAGUCAGUUGUGAAAGUUUGCGGCUCAACCGUAAAAUUGAAGUUGAAACUGGCAGUCUUGAGUACAGUAGAGGUGGGCGGAAUUCGUGGUGUAGCGGUGAAAUGCUUAGAUAUCACGAAGAACUCCGAUUGCGAAGGCAGUUCACUGGACUGCAACUGACACUGAGGCUCGAAAGUGUGGGUAUCAAACAGGAUUAGAUACCCGAGUAGUC